This 74-nucleotide transfer RNA is filed under the name Taeniopygia guttata (zebra finch). It matches the Rfam family "tRNA". From Rfam's summary of the family: Transfer RNA (tRNA) molecules are approximately 80 nucleotides in length. Their secondary structure includes four short double-helical elements and three loops (D, anti-codon, and T loops). Lineage: Eukaryota; Metazoa; Chordata; Aves; Passeriformes; Estrildidae. The record is from Rfam by way of RNAcentral.
AGGGCCACAGCUCAGCUGGUCAAAACACCUGUCUAGUAAACAGGAGAUCCUGGAUUCCACUUCCUGUGGCACCU